AAAAGAAAAAAAAAAAAAAAAGAAAAAUCAGUUGUUCAACUCUCAUUUUGUAAACAAGGAAACUGAGGCUCAAAUAAGUUAACAGACAGUAUUCCUCUUUUAAUAACAACAUUUAUCACUGAUUUGAACCUGUUUGACUUUUAUAAAUAAUAUUGCACAUAUGUUAAGAAGAUAUGUCAUAUUUUGAUAGACCAUCUAUGAGUUAAAUUAUAUGUCUAUUAUUAUAAUUAAAAUCAGUAUCUACUGAAAGCUAAGGUUUUGCACAACCUGAAAGAUUUCUUGUACAAGUUUUCUAGAAAAAAAAUGAAUAGAUUUAAUUAGAAUUUCAGAAUGAAGACUUACAGAAUCUGGGUCUUACUGAUCCAAAUCCUCUGUAAAAUUCCACAAUAUUAUAUUUCUUAUAUAACUCUUCCUAAGGUAUUUCUAACAUGAUGCUUUUUUUUUUAAAAUUAAAAUAUCUAGUGGCAUCUGAGAACAUUUCUAGAAGUUGUAAAGCCUCAAAAACCUGAAUUUUAACUAAAUAUUUCUUAUAUACCUUCUUUUGCAUAAUUAAUAGGAUAAUCAAAGUUUUGAGACCUGAAUCAUGAAUAAUCUGACAAUCCUUUCUAGACAGCGACUGAGAUUCAUUUCUUAAUAAAUGAAGAGGCAGAAAGAAAACCCGGCAAGGCUGAAUAUAUGCACUGCGGGAAUCAAAGUCUGGAAACAAAAAGGUAAGUCACUUUACAGAACACCACACCCUGAAUUCA
Dipodomys spectabilis (banner-tailed kangaroo rat) is the source of this 746-nucleotide long non-coding RNA. RefSeq lists it as uncharacterized. The transcript has 3 exons. The record is from RefSeq and is a predicted model, not a curated record. NCBI's taxonomy places the organism in Eukaryota, Metazoa, Chordata, Mammalia, Rodentia, Heteromyidae.